GACGAACGCUGGCGGCGUGCCUAAUACAUGCAAGUCGAACGCAGUGGGGACGGGUGAGUAACACGUGGGUAACCUCCCAUCAGAGGGGAUAACACUUGGAAACAGGUGCUAAACCGAUACUGAUGGAUGGACCCGCGGUGCAUUAGCUAGUUGGUGAGGUAACGGCUCACCAAGGCCACGAUGCAUAGCCGACCUGAGAGGAUGACCAGCCACACUGGAACUGAGACACGGUCCAGACUCCUACGGGAGGCAGCAGUGGGGAAUAUUGCACAAUGGGCGCAAGCCUGAUGCAGCCAUGCCGCGUGUGUGAAGAAGGCCUUCGGGUUGUAAAGCACUUUCAGCGAGGAGGCGUUACUCGCAGAAGAAGCACCGGCUAACUCCGUGCCAGCCGCCGCGGUAAUAC
RNAcentral lists this ribosomal RNA (403 nucleotides) under uncultured bacterium. RNAcentral's name for it is "partial 16S ribosomal RNA". It matches the Rfam family "Bacterial small subunit ribosomal RNA", at positions 28 to 526 of the family's 1533-position model. The record is from RNAcentral.